RNAcentral lists this ribosomal RNA (497 nucleotides) under uncultured bacterium. RNAcentral's name for it is "partial 16S ribosomal RNA". It matches the Rfam family "Bacterial small subunit ribosomal RNA", at positions 28 to 507 of the family's 1533-position model. The record is from RNAcentral.
GAUGAACGCUGGCGGCGUGCCUAAUACAUGCAAGUCGAGCGAACGGACGAGAAGCUUGCUUUUCUGAUGUUAGCGGCGGACGGGUGAGUAACACGUGGAUAACCUACCUAUAAGACUGGGAUAACUUCGGGAAACCGGAGCUAAUACCGGAUAAUAUUUUGAGCCGCAUGGUUCAAAAGUGAAAGACGGUCUUGCUGUCACUUAUAGAUGGAUCCGCGCUGCAUUAGCUAGUUGGUAAGGUAACGGCUUACCAAGGCAACGAUGCAUAGCCGACCUGAGAGGGUGAUCGGCCACACUGGAACUGAGACACGGUCCAGACUCCUACGGGAGGCAGCAGUAGGGAAUCUUCCGCAAUGGGCGAAAGCCUGACGGAGCAACGCCGCGUGAGUGAUGAAGGUCUUCGGAUCGUAAAACUCUGUUAUUAGGGAAGAACAUAUGUGUAAGUAACUAUGCACAUCUUGACGGUACCUAAUCAGAAAGCCACGGCUAACUACGUG